AUGUAUGAUGAUGAUCAAGAGGAUGAUGAUAUUUCAUCUCAGCCGCUUAUGCCCUAUGUUGGCAUGGAAUUUGACUCUAUUGAGGAUGCCAAGGAAUUUUACAAUGAAUAUGCAUUCAAGAUGGGCUUUGGCACACGCAUUUGCGCUUCUAAAAAAGCCAAAAGAGAGGUCCUCCAACACUUAUCAAGAAGGUUUUCCAGUGUGUGCACGCAGGGAAGCCAGAAAGUAAGGGGGACAGUAGCACUGCUUCUGAAGGGAUCUCAAUGGGAGCAACAUCGUCUAGCAAACAGAAUUGGUUUGAAAUGGAUGUCGGCAGCAAGCGUCAAAAGAAUCGGCUGCUGCGACAUGAUUGCAAAGAUCACCUGA
RNAcentral lists this ribosomal RNA (366 nucleotides) under Triticum aestivum (bread wheat). RNAcentral describes it as "partial small subunit ribosomal RNA". Lineage: Eukaryota; Viridiplantae; Streptophyta; Magnoliopsida; Poales; Poaceae. The record is from RNAcentral.